Molecule: ribosomal RNA, 253 nt
Filed under: uncultured bacterium
Lineage: Bacteria
Description: partial 16S ribosomal RNA
Rfam family: Bacterial small subunit ribosomal RNA
Source: RNAcentral
UACGUAGGGGGCUAGCGUUGUCCGGAAUCAUUGGGCGUAAAGCGCGUGUAGGCGGUCCGGUAAGUCCGCUGUGAAAGUCGAGGGCUCAACCCUCGAAUGCCGGUGGAUACUGUCGGGCUUGAGUACGGGAGAGGCGAGUGGAAUUCCUGGUGUAGCAGUGAAAUGCGCAGAUAUCGUAAGGAAGACCAGUGGCGAAGGCGAAUCUCUGGACAGUUACUGACACUGAGGCACGAAGGCCAGGGGAGCAAACGGG